This 465-nucleotide ribosomal RNA is filed under the name uncultured bacterium. RNAcentral's name for it is "partial 16S ribosomal RNA". It matches the Rfam family "Bacterial small subunit ribosomal RNA", at positions 28 to 507 of the family's 1533-position model. The record is from RNAcentral.
GACGAACGCUAGCGGCGUGCUUAACACAUGCAAGUCGAACGGAAAGGCCCUGCUUGCAGGGUACUCUAGUGGCGAACGGGUGAGUAACACGUGGGUGAUCUGCCCUGCACUUCGGGAUAAGCCUGGGAAACUGGGUCUAAUACCGGAUAGGAGCCAUUUUUAUUGUUAUGGUUGGAAAGUUUUUUCGGUGUAGGAUGAGCUCGCGGCCUAUCAGCUUGUUGGUGGGGUAAUGGCCUACCAAGGCGGCGACGGGUAGCCGGCCUGAGAGGGUGGACGGCCACAAUGGGACUGAGAUAAGGCCCAGACUCCUACGGGAGGCAGCAGUGGGGAAUAUUGCAAAAUGGGCGCAAGCCUGAUGCAGCGAAGCCGCGUGGGGGAUGACGGCCUUCGGGUUGUAAACUCCUUUCGCUAGGGACGAAGCUUUUUGUGACGGUACCUAGAUAAGAAGCACCGGCUAACUACGUG